RNAcentral lists this ribosomal RNA (450 nucleotides) under uncultured bacterium. RNAcentral describes it as "partial 16S ribosomal RNA". It matches the Rfam family "Bacterial small subunit ribosomal RNA", at positions 354 to 796 of the family's 1533-position model. The record is from RNAcentral.
GUGGGGAAUAUUGGACAAUGGGCGAAAGCCUGAUCCAGCCAUGCCGCGUGUGUGAAGAAGGUCUUCGGAUUGUAAAGCACUUUAAGUUGGGAGGAAGGGCAGUAAGUUAAUACCUUGCUGUUUUGACGUUACCGACAGAAUAAGCACCGGCUAACUUCGUGCCAGCAGCCGCGGUAAUACGAAGGGUGCAAGCGUUAAUCGGAAUUACUGGGCGUACAGCGCGCGUAGGUGGUUUUGUAAGUUGGAGGUGAAAUCCCCGGGCUCAACCUGGGAACUGCCUCCAAAACUGCAUGACUAGAGUACGGUAGAGGGUAGUGGAAUUUCCUGUGUAGCGGUGAAAUGCGUAGAUAUAGGAAGGAACACCAGUGGCGAAGGCGACUACCUGGACUGAUACUGACACUGAGGUGCGAAAGCGUGGGGAGCAAACAGGAUUAGAAACCCUAGUAGUCC